GAGACGCUGGCGGCGCGCCUAACACAUGCAAGUCGAACGGAGUUUUUUGAAUUGAUUCUUUCGGGAUGAUUUUUGGAAACUUAGUGGCGAACGGGUGAGUAACGCGUGGGUAACCUGCCCUGGAGUGGGGGACAACAGUUGGAAACGACUGCUAAUACCGCAUAAGCCCACAGUACCGCAUGGUACAGAGGGAAAAGGAGCAAUUCGCUUCAGGAUGGACCCGCGUCUGAUUGGCUAGUUGGUGGGGUAACGGCCUACCAAGGCGACGAUCAGUAGCCGGACUGAGAGGUUGAUCGGCCACAUUGGGACUGAGAUACGGCCCAGACUCCUACGGGAGGCAGCAGUGGGGAAUAUUGCACAAUGGGGGAAACCCUGAUGCAGCGACGCCGCGUGGAGGAAGAAGGUCUUCGGAUUGUAAACUCCUGUUGUCAAGGACGAUAAUGACGGUACUUGACAAGAAAGCCACGGCUAACUACGUG
Molecule: ribosomal RNA, 479 nt
Filed under: uncultured bacterium
Lineage: Bacteria
Description: bacterial SSU rRNA
Rfam family: Bacterial small subunit ribosomal RNA
Source: RNAcentral